CGCAUCUGUGCAUGCAGCAUAUCAAUAAGCGGAGGAAAAGAAACUAACAAGGAUUCCCUUAGUAACGGCGAGUGAAGCGGGAAGAGCUCAAAUUUGAAAUCUUCAAGGUUUUACCUUGACGAAUUGUAGUUUAAAGAAGUGUUUUCUGUUGAAGUUUUGGUAAAAGUUCUUUGGAAUAGGACAUCAUAGAGGGUGAGAAUCCCGUAUUUGACCAUUAUUUUCAGCUGUGUGAUACACUUUCAAAGAGUCGGAUUGUUUGGGAAUGCAGUCCAAAAUGGGUGGUAAAUUUCAUCUAAAGCUAAAUAUUGGCGAGAGACCGAUAGCGAACAAGUACCGUGAGGGAAAGAUGAAAAGAACUUUGAAAAGAGAGUUAAACAGUACGUGAAAUUGUCAAAAGGGAAGCGUUUGACACCAGUGUUGUUUUUCUCGAAAAUCAAUUACAAAUGAGCUUAGAUUUUGUGUUGUAUCGACCUUAAUCAGCUUUCUGCACUUUUUCGAUUCUUUCUUAAUGCACUUUUCGUUUAACAAGUCAACAUCAGUUUCUUUUGUUGUAAAAGAGUCAUUCGGAAGGUGGCUUUCUUUUCGGAGAAAGUGUUUAUAGCCUAUGACUUCUGCAAUCGGAGAGAUUGAGGUCUGCAGCGUAGAUCCUUCGGGGUUAGAUACACUUGUGCUAAGUUAUAGCUUUUUCAUAGACAACUUGUUGACUAUGAUUAGUCAUGUCGCUUACUCGCUUAUGCUAUUUUACCUACGCUUAGGAUGUUGAAGACUCUACAGAGAU
This 778-nucleotide ribosomal RNA is filed under the name uncultured Neocallimastigales. Its description in RNAcentral is "partial large subunit ribosomal RNA". It matches the Rfam family "Eukaryotic large subunit ribosomal RNA", at positions 26 to 634 of the family's 3401-position model. The record is from RNAcentral. Lineage: Eukaryota; Fungi; Neocallimastigomycota; Neocallimastigomycetes; Neocallimastigales.